This 25-nucleotide non-coding RNA is filed under the name Mus musculus (house mouse). The record is from RNAcentral. Lineage: Eukaryota; Metazoa; Chordata; Mammalia; Rodentia; Muridae.
UCCUGGUAGCUGAUCAUCACCCCGU